CCUACGGGAGGCUGCAGUGAGGAAUAUUGGUCAAUGGUCGAAAGACUGAACCAGCCAUGCCGCGUGCAGGACAGACGGCCCUAGAGGUUGUAAACUGCUUUUAUAUGGGAAGAAUAAGGAGUACGUGUACUUUGAUGACGGUACCAUAUGAAUAAGCAUCGGCUAACUCCGUGCCAGCAGCCGCGGUAAUACGGAGGAUACGAGCGUUAUUCGGAAUCAUUGGGUUUAAAGGGUCUGUAGGCGGGCUAUUAAGUCAGGGGUGAAAGGUUUCAGCUUAACUGAGAAAUUGCCUUUGAUACUGGUAGUCUUGAAUAUCUGUGAAGUUCUUGGAAUGUGUAGUGUAGCGGUGAAAUGCUUAGAUAUUACACAGAACACCGAUUGCGGAGGCAGGGGACUAACAGAUGAUUGACGCUGAGAGACGAAAGCGUGGGGAGCGAACAGGAUUAGAUACCCCGGUAGUC
This 461-nucleotide ribosomal RNA is filed under the name uncultured Capnocytophaga sp. Its description in RNAcentral is "bacterial SSU rRNA". It matches the Rfam family "Bacterial small subunit ribosomal RNA", at positions 338 to 795 of the family's 1533-position model. Lineage: Bacteria; Pseudomonadati; Bacteroidota; Flavobacteriia; Flavobacteriales; Flavobacteriaceae. The record is from RNAcentral.